Molecule: transfer RNA, 68 nt
Filed under: Eysarcoris ventralis
Lineage: Eukaryota; Metazoa; Arthropoda; Insecta; Hemiptera; Pentatomidae
Description: tRNA-Thr
Rfam family: tRNA
About the family: Transfer RNA (tRNA) molecules are approximately 80 nucleotides in length. Their secondary structure includes four short double-helical elements and three loops (D, anti-codon, and T loops).
Source: RNAcentral
GUUUUAAUAGUUUAAAAUAUAAAACAAUGAUUUUGUAAAUCAUAAAUAGGAAUUGUACCUUUAAAACU